ACGGAGGGGGCGAGUGUUGCUCGGAAUUACUGGGCGUAAAGGGCGCGUAGGCGGCCUGCUAAGUCGAACGUGAAAUCCCGGGGCUCAACCCGAGAACUGCGUCCGAUACUGGCAGGCUUGAAUCCGGGAGAGGGAUGCGGAAUUCCAGGUGUAGCGGUGAAAUGCGUAGAUAUCUGGAGGAACACCGGUGGCGAAAGCGACUUCCUGGACCAAUACUGACGCUCAUGUGCGAAAGCGUGGGGAGCAAACAGGA
RNAcentral lists this ribosomal RNA (253 nucleotides) under uncultured prokaryote. RNAcentral describes it as "partial 16S ribosomal RNA". It matches the Rfam family "Bacterial small subunit ribosomal RNA", at positions 525 to 777 of the family's 1533-position model. The record is from RNAcentral.